Molecule: ribosomal RNA, 2260 nt
Filed under: Citrobacter sp. L55
Lineage: Bacteria; Pseudomonadati; Pseudomonadota; Gammaproteobacteria; Enterobacterales; Enterobacteriaceae
Description: bacterial LSU rRNA
Rfam family: Bacterial large subunit ribosomal RNA
Source: RNAcentral
GGGUUGUGAGGUUAAGCGACUAAGCGUACACGGUGGAUGCCCUGGCAGUCAGAGGCGAUGAAGGACGUGCUAAUCUGCGAUAAGCGUCGGUAAGGUGAUAUGAACCGUUAUAACCGGCGAUUUCCGAAUGGGGAAACCCAGUGUGAUUCGUCACACUAUCAUUGCGUGAAUACAUAGCGUAAUGAAGCGAACCGGGGGAACUGAAACAUCUAAGUACCCCGAGGAAAAGAAAUCAACCGAGAUUCCCCCAGUAGCGGCGAGCGAACGGGGAGCAGCCCAGAGUCUGAAUCAGCAUGUGUGGUAGUGGAACGGUCUGGAAAGUCCGNCGUGAAUACAUAGCGUAAUGAAGCGAACCGGGGGAACUGAAACAUCUAAGUACCCCGAGGAAAAGAAAUCAACCGAGAUUCCCCCAGUAGCGGCGAGCGAACGGGGAGCAGCCCAGAGUCUGAAUCAGCAUGUGUGGUAGUGGAACGGUCUGGAAAGUCCGGCGAUACAGGGUGAUAGCCCCGUACACAAAAGUGCAUGUGUUGUGAACUCGAAGAGUAGGGCGGGACACGUGGUAUCCUGUCUGAAUAUGGGGGGACCAUCCUCCAAGGCUAAAUACUCCUGACUGACCGAUAGUGAACCAGUACCGUGAGGGAAAGGCGAAAAGAACCCCGGCGAGGGGAGNCCUCCAAGGCUAAAUACUCCUGACUGACCGAUAGUGAACCAGUACCGUGAGGGAAAGGCGAAAAGAACCCCGGCGAGGGGAGUGAAAAAGAACCUGAAACCGUGUACGUACAAGCAGUGGGAGCCUCUUUAUGGGGUGACUGCGUACCUUUUGUAUAAUGGGUCAGCGACUUAUAUUCUGUAGCAAGGUUAACCGCAUAGGGGAGCCGAAGGGAAACCGAGUCUUAACUGGGCGUUAAGUUGCAGGGUAUAGACCCGAAACCCGGUGAUCUAGCCAUGGGCAGGUUGAAGGUUGGGUAACACUAACUGGAGGACCGAACCGACUAAUGUUGAAAAAUUAGCGGAUGACUUGUGGCUGGGGGNAUAGGGGAGCCGAAGGGAAACCGAGUCUUAACUGGGCGUUAAGUUGCAGGGUAUAGACCCGAAACCCGGUGAUCUAGCCAUGGGCAGGUUGAAGGUUGGGUAACACUAACUGGAGGACCGAACCGACUAAUGUUGAAAAAUUAGCGGAUGACUUGUGGCUGGGGGUGAAAGGCCAAUCAAACCGGGAGAUAGCUGGUUCUCCCCGAAAGCUAUUUAGGUAGCGCCUCGUGAAUUCAUCUUCGGGGGUAGAGCACUGUUUCGGCUAGGGGGUCAUCCCGACUUACCAACCCGAUGCAAACUGCGAAUACCGAAGAAUGUUAUCACGGGAGACACACGGCGGGUGCUAACGUCCGUCGUGAAGAGGGAAACAACCCAGACCGCCAGCUAAGGUCCCAAAGUCAUGGUUAAGUGGGAAACGAUGUGGGAAGGCACAGACAGCCAGGAUGUUGGCUUAGAAGCAGCCAUCAUUUAAAGAAAGCGUAAUAGCUCACUGGUCGAGUCGGCCUGCGCGGAAGAUGUAACGGGGCUAAACCAUGCACCGAAGCUGCGGCAGCGACACUAUGUGUUGUUGGGUAGGGGAGCGUUCUGUAAGCCGUUGAAGGUGGCCUGUGAGGGUUGCUGGAGGUAUCAGAAGUGCGAAUGCUGACAUAAGUAACGAUAAUGCGGGUGAAAAACCCGCACGCCGGAAGACCAAGGGUUCCUGUCCAACGUUAAUCGGGGCAGGGUGAGUCGACCCCUAAGGCGAGGCCGAAAGGCGUAGUCGAUGGGAAACAGGUUAAUAUUCCUGUACUUGGUGUUACUGCGAAGGGGGGACGGAGAAGGCUAUGUUAGCCGGGCGACGGUUGUCCCGGUUUAAGCAUGUAGGCGGAGAUUCCAGGUAAAUCCGGAAUCUUGUUAACGCUGAGGUGUGAUGACGAGGCACUACGGUGCUGAAGUAACAAAUGCCCUGCUUCCAGGAAAAGCCUCUAAGCAUCAGGUAACACGAAAUCGUACCCCAAACCGACACAGGUGGUCAGGUAGAGAAUACCAAGGCGCUUGAGAGAACUCGGGUGAAGGAACUAGGCAAAAUGGUGCCGUAACUUCGGGAGAAGGCACGCUGAUAUGUAGGUGAAGUGAUUUACUCAUGGAGCUGAAAUCAGUCGAAGAUACCAGCUGGCUGCAACUGUUUAUUAAAAACACAGCACUGUGCAAACACGAAAGUGGACGUAUACGGUGUGACGCCUGCCCG